AUGUACUCGUCCGGGUCCGUGGUGCGUAUGAAGGACGGGAAGUCCCCGAGCCUCAUGCUCCUCAGCCCCGGCACGUCCUCCACCGGCGUGUCAAGGUAUCCGUUCGUCAGCUGCUCGGCGUCUGCAUGCAUGCGUAAAGACAUACAUAUUCAGAUAAGUGCUUCGAUCAGCAGCUGUCAAUGGCCGCACCGAGCAGAAAUGGCUGACGCGCGCACUGACGGGAAACAAAACAAAAAGCAGUACGUACGUACCUUUGAGUGGGGCGAGGCCACGGCCGAUGAGGAGGCGGUAGUGGCGGUACCCGAGGUAGCUGAUGGCGCUGGCGGUCCAGAGCUGGACGUAGGGGAGGCCGAGCUCGUUGGCGGCCUCCAUGGAGAACCCCAUGACGACGUCAGAGACGACGCGGGUGACGGGCGGGUUACCCGUGGCAGGGUCGUUGAGCCGGGUGAGGAGGUCGCGGAACGGCCCGAGGCAGGUCUCGGUGGUGGACUUGCAGAGCGCGGGGAUGUCUUGCGUGACGUCGUCGUCGCCGGAUGGCGGCAGGCCGUCCGGGAUGGUGGCGAAGCGGAAGCCCGGGAGGCCGGCCACGGCGGCGGCGCCGCGGGAGCGGACGAGGCGGGCGUGGUUGUACUCGGUGUUGACGAAGGUGACGUCGAAGCCCCGGGCGUGGAGCAGCUUGGCCACGUUGAGCAUCGGGGUGAUGUGGUGUGCCCCUGCGCUGGGUAUGGCAGGCACACCGCGUGCGGCUUCCCGGCGGCAGGUCCCAUCGAGCCCAUCUCCUCCGCAGACGACUCCUCACUCUCCGUAUGUGCGCUUCGAGCUGACCAAGAUCGGUCGAUGGCAACCAUGGCUUCCUCCUGGCUGAACUCUCCAUGGCUGCUUCGAGCCUUGGAGGAUGGAGACUUGAUGGUCCUACUCCCUCUUCCACGGAAAGCAGCCGGGCCGGGUGUGUGA
RNAcentral lists this ribosomal RNA (954 nucleotides) under Triticum aestivum (bread wheat). RNAcentral's name for it is "partial small subunit ribosomal RNA". The record is from RNAcentral. Lineage: Eukaryota; Viridiplantae; Streptophyta; Magnoliopsida; Poales; Poaceae.